AGCGGCGGACGGGUGAGUAAUGCUUAGGAAUCUGCCAUUUAGUGGGGGACAACAUUCCGAAAGGAAUGCUAAUACCGCAUACGUCCUACGGGAGAAAGCAGGGGAUCUUCGGACCUUGCGCUAAAUCAUGAGCCUAAGUCGGAUUAGCUAGUUGGUGGGGUAAAGGCCUACCAAGGCGACGAUCUGUAGCGGGUCUGAGAGGAUGAUCCGCCACACUGGGACUGAGACACGGCCCAGACUCCUACGGGAGGCAGCAGUGGGGAAUAUUGGACAAUGGGCGGAAGCCUGAUCCAGCCAUGCCGCGUGUGUGAAGAAGGCCUUUUGGUUGUAAAGCACUUUAAGCGAGGAGGAGGCUACCUAGAUUAAUACUCUGGGAUAGUGGACGUUACUCGCAGAAUAAGCACCGGCUAACUCUGUGCCAGCAGCCGCGGUAAUACAGAGGGUGCGAGCGUUAAUCGGAUUUACUGGGCGUAAAGCGUGCGUAGGCGGCUUUUUAAGUCGGAUGUGAAAUCCCCGAGCUUAACUUGGGAAUUGCAUUCGAUACUGGGAAGCUAGAGUAUGGGAGAGGAUGGUAGAAUUCCAGGUGUAGCGGUGAAAUGCGUAGAGAUCUGGAGGAAUACCGAUGGCGAAGGCAGCCAUCUGGCCUAAUACUGACGCUGAGGUACGAAAGCAUGGGGAGCAAACAGGAUUAGAUACCCUGGUAGUCCAUGCCGUAAACGAUGUCUACUAGC
RNAcentral lists this ribosomal RNA (731 nucleotides) under uncultured bacterium. Its description in RNAcentral is "bacterial SSU rRNA". It matches the Rfam family "Bacterial small subunit ribosomal RNA", at positions 94 to 820 of the family's 1533-position model. The record is from RNAcentral.